GGUGAACGCUGGCGGCGUGCUUAAGACAUGAAGUCGAACGCAGUCUUCGGACUGAGUGGCGCACGGGUGAGUAACACGUAACUGACCUACCCCCAAGUCGCGGAUAACUGGCCGAAAGGUCAGCUAAUACGUGAUGUGAUGUCCCCUUUCUGGGGGGCCAUUAAAGGUUUACUGCUUGGGGAUGGGGUUGCGUUCUAUCAGCUAGUUGGCGGGGUAAAGGCCCACCAAGGCAACGACGGAUAGCCGGCCUGAGAGGGUGGCCGGCCACAGGGGCACUGAGACACGGGUCCCACUCCUACGGGAGGCAGCAGUUAGGAAUCUUCCACAAUGGGCGAAAGCCUGGUGGAGCGACGCCGCGUGAGGGAUGAAGGUUCUCGGAUCGUAAACCUCUGAAUCAGGGACGAAAGACGCGUAAGCGGGAUGACGGUACCUGAGUAAUAGCACCGGCUAACUCCGUGCCAGCCGCCGCAGUAA
RNAcentral lists this ribosomal RNA (474 nucleotides) under uncultured bacterium. RNAcentral's name for it is "partial 16S ribosomal RNA". It matches the Rfam family "Bacterial small subunit ribosomal RNA", at positions 28 to 523 of the family's 1533-position model. The record is from RNAcentral.